This 253-nucleotide ribosomal RNA is filed under the name uncultured bacterium. RNAcentral's name for it is "partial 16S ribosomal RNA". It matches the Rfam family "Bacterial small subunit ribosomal RNA", at positions 524 to 776 of the family's 1533-position model. The record is from RNAcentral.
UACGAAGGGGGCUAGCGUUGCUCGGAAUUACUGGGCGUAAAGGGAGCGUAGGCGGACAGUUUAGUCAGAGGUGAAAGCCCAGGGCUCAACCUUGGAAUUGCCUUUGAUACUGGCUGUCUUGAGUACGGGAGAGGUGUGUGGAACUCCGAGUGUAGAGGUGAAAUUCGUAGAUAUUGGGAAGAACACCAGUGGCGAAAGCGGACUUCUGGGUUGUUACUGACGCUGAGGUACGAAAGCGUGGGGAGCAAACGGG